AGAGGAGGAGGAGAAAGAGAAGAAGGAGGAAGCGAGCGUGCGCACGCGUGCUUACCGUUGGAGGAGGUGCUGCGACAAAGUGUACCGGUGGUAUAGAGGAAACUUGUCGCUAGCGAGAUCUGGAUGAAGAGGAGCACGAAGAGGAGAUAGAGGUGGACAGAGGAGAUAACGACUAGGUGACCUCUCUAACAGUUUCUUGCCACUGGGAAGGGGAAGAGUGAGAGGCUUGCAAAUCGUUCCAAGGAGGCUUGACCCGACACUUGCCUACAUGACGUACGUUAUAUGUCACGGACAAUGCCCCAAAUUUCUACAUAUCAAUUCCUCGAAAGCUUCGUAAGGGAACCUUACACGAAAGAUAUCUCGGCUAUGACGAUUAUGCAAGCGGAUCGCGCUCUCGCUCUCGAUAGGUAUCGAGAAAUCGCCUGACGUUCUACUGCCGCUGACGAAUCUAUGCAAACUAUGGAUCUUCGCCUUCUACCGGCAUACCAUCGCUCUAAGUCUAAUCGCAUAUUUCUAGAUUAUUAAAUAUACUUUUUCCAAGCUAUACGAUGUCUGUUAUAUUCGGCCGAACGCACGAAAUUUUAACUAAUUUUCGUUCGUACGUUAUUUCGUAUCUCCCCGAAAUCAGAACUCUCGACAUUAUUAUAAACACGACGGAAUGAUUUACCCUCUUGGUUUUAGCUCACCUCU
Molecule: long non-coding RNA, 690 nt
Organism: Vespa velutina
Lineage: Eukaryota; Metazoa; Arthropoda; Insecta; Hymenoptera; Vespidae
Exons: 3
Source: RefSeq, a predicted model, not a curated record